CCUACGGGAGGCAGCAGUGAGGAAUAUUGGUCAAUGGCCGAGAGGCUGAACCAGCCAAGUCGCGUGAGGGAAGAAUGUCCUAUGGAUUGUAAACCUCUUUUGUCAGGGAGCAAAGUCACCCACGUGUGGGUGUUGGAGAGUACCUGAAGAAAAAGCAUCGGCUAACUCCGUGCCAGCAGCCGCGGUAAUACGGAGGAUGCGAGCGUUAUCCGGAUUUAUUGGGUUUAAAGGGUGCGUAGGCGGGUUAUCAAGUCAGCGGUAAAAUCGUGGAGCUCAACUCCAUCCAGCCGUUGAAACUGAUGAUCUUGAGUGGGCGAGAAGUAUGCGGAAUGCGUGGUGUAGCGGUGAAAUGCUUAGAGAUCAUACAGAACACCGAUUGCGAAGGCAGCUUACCAAGCUACUUCUGACGUUGAGGCACGAAAGCGUGGGGAGCAAACAGGAUUAGAUACCCCAGUAGUC
This 459-nucleotide ribosomal RNA is filed under the name uncultured bacterium. RNAcentral's name for it is "partial 16S ribosomal RNA". It matches the Rfam family "Bacterial small subunit ribosomal RNA", at positions 338 to 795 of the family's 1533-position model. The record is from RNAcentral.